This 722-nucleotide ribosomal RNA is filed under the name uncultured bacterium. RNAcentral describes it as "partial 16S ribosomal RNA". It matches the Rfam family "Bacterial small subunit ribosomal RNA", at positions 762 to 1482 of the family's 1533-position model. The record is from RNAcentral.
UGGGAGCAAACAGGAUUAGAUACCNUGGUAGUNCACGCUGUAAACGAUGAAUGUUAAAUAUGGGAAGUUUUACUUUCUGUAUUACAGCUAACGCGUUAAACAUUCCGCCUGGGGACUACGGUCGCAAGAUUAAAACUCAAAGGAACUGACGGGGACCCGCACAAGCGGUGGAGCAUGUGGUUUAAUUCGAUGCAACGCGAAAANCCUUANCCCNNNNNNNNNCNNNCGAUUAUACCUAUUCGAAGGGAUAGGGUCGGUUCGGCCGGGUUUCACACAGGUGUUGCAUGGCUGUCGUCAGCUCGUGUCGUGAGAUGUUGGGUUAAGUCCCGCAACGAGCGCAACCCUCAUCCUUAGUUACCAUCAGGUAAUGCUGGGGACUUUAAGGAGACUGCCAGUGAUAAACUGGAGGAAGGUGGGGAUGAUGUCAAGUCAUCAUGGCCCUUAUGGAGUGGGCUACACACGUGCUACAAUGGUGGCUACAAUGGGCUGCAAAGUCGCGAGGCUAAGCCAAUCCCUUAAAAGCCAUCUCAGUUCGGAUUGUACUCUGCAACUCGAGUGCAUGAAGUUGGAAUCGCUAGUAAUCGUGGAUCAGCACGCCACGGUGAAUACGUUCUCGGGUCUUGUACACACUGCCCGUCACGCCAUGGGAAUUGGUUUCACUCGAAGCUAACGACCUAACCGCAAGGAGGGAGUUAUUUAAAGUGGGAUCGGUGACUGGGGUG